GACGAACGCUGGCGGCGUGCCUAAUACAUGCAAGUAGAACGCUGAAGGAGGAGCUUGCUUCUCUGGAUGAGUUGCGAACGGGUGAGUAACGCGUAGGUAACCUGCCUGGUAGUGGGGGAUAACUAUUGGAAACGAUAGCUAAUACCGCAUAAGAGUAGACGUUGCAUGACAUUUGCUUAAAAGGUGCAAUUGCAUCACUACAAGAUGGACCUGCGUUGUAUUAGCUAGUUGGUGGGGUAACGGCUCACCAAGGCGACGCUACAUAGCCGACCUGAGAGGGUGGACGGCCACACUGGGACUUGGACACGGCCCAGACUCCUACGGGAGGCAGCAGUAGGGGAUCUUCGGCAAUGGACGGAAGUCUGACCGAACAACGCCGCGUGAGUGAAGAAGGUUUUCGGAUCGGAAAACUCUGUUGUAAGAGAAGAACAAGUGGGAGGGUGGAAAGUUCACACUGUGACGGUAUCUUACCAGAAAGGGACGGCUAACUACGUG
This 495-nucleotide ribosomal RNA is filed under the name uncultured bacterium. RNAcentral describes it as "partial 16S ribosomal RNA". It matches the Rfam family "Bacterial small subunit ribosomal RNA", at positions 28 to 507 of the family's 1533-position model. The record is from RNAcentral.